GGAACGAUACAGAGAAGAUUAGCAUGG
This 27-nucleotide non-coding RNA is filed under the name Xenopus tropicalis (tropical clawed frog). RNAcentral also lists the same sequence under 4 other names. The record is from RNAcentral. Lineage: Eukaryota; Metazoa; Chordata; Amphibia; Anura; Pipidae.